Cicer arietinum (chickpea) is the source of this 2449-nucleotide non-coding RNA. The record is from RefSeq and is a predicted model, not a curated record. Lineage: Eukaryota; Viridiplantae; Streptophyta; Magnoliopsida; Fabales; Fabaceae.
CACCUGUUACAAAAACUUUGACAAAAAUAUUUUAACAUAAACUACACGGAAUUCCCCAACCACUCCACGGAUAUCACUUAGACUCCUCCUUCAACACAACAACCCCAUCACCAUAAACUCCCAUGAGCCAAAACCAACUCUCUUCAUCUAUCCAUCGUCUCACCAGAGGUAAUUUUUUGUUUAUCGGUCCUUCUUCCGUUACUAAUUGUACAACAUUAAAAUUUCAAAAUUAACUCUCGUGUUAUUUGGUUUUGAGAAAUUUAGCUACCAUGUUGGCUUUAUUAAGUUUAUAUUGAAUAAAAUAUAUGACCAAUUAUUCUUUGAGUGUUGUUUGUUAAACGAAAUAUUCAUAUGUUUUCAAUCACUGCACCUAAAUUUAAGGUUAUAUUGUUGGUGGUGGAAGUUUCGUUAAAUCCAACAAAGAAAAAACUCUUUUUGCUAAAAUCUGGGAGUGAUGGAGUUCUUGUUGUUGUGUCGAAGGAAGAGGAGUAUCGAUAAUCUGUGUGAGGUGGUUGGUGGGUUCGCAAACAGUAGUUUCUUUCCUAAUAAUAACACUAACAAAACACUUCUAAAGGUAUUAAAAAAUAAAAUUGGGUGAGUGAGUGAGUCAUGGGCUUUUAUAUAACCUCUCACGCGAUCUAAAUUUCUCCCAUGACCUAAACCUCUCUUCACGCUCUGCCUCUAUCCUUUUCUUCUCACAUCUUCGGCAAGCUUUCAGCAUCAGAUUAAGUUCUUUCUCAGCUGUUGAGAAAGAGCUCGAAAUUACUAUUGAGACCCUUAUGGCUUUUCCCUUGCAAAUUAUGUUAACUCUUAUCUUCCUUGUGAUAUCAAAGUUAUAAGCAUUUUGCCUUCACAAAGAAGCUUUGAUCCGAGAAAGGAAUGCAAUCUGCGGAAGUAUUCCUACCUACUCCCUGCUGAAAUUAUCGGUAUUCAAAGCUACUCUAGCAAUGAUGAAAUCGAUUACCACCUCUCAGAGUUCAAUGAUAUUCUCAAAGAAUUUGAGGUGUGGUGACUGGCGCAAUUGCAUUUCUUAGGGGGGACAUCCUUUCCAUAAUUAUACUGCAAGGUCCAGGUACAGAAAACAUUUUCGUCGUAGACCGUCACAGUCGAAGAGCAGUAAGAGUUUAUCAGCAUACAAUUCAGAAUAUGAGGAUAGUGACAAGGAAGAAAAUUUUAAAAUUGAUGAGGCACGUACAGAAAACAUAGUGUGCCAAAACCAAAAGUCUUCAGGAACUUUCAAUUCCUGCGAACAUGUCAACAGCACCGGUAAUGAGAAAGAUAGUUUGCAUGAUCAGAGCUCGAGAUUGGUUGUUCGUGCGAAAUGGUUAUAUGAACCUGAUGAUGCUGACAGAUUAAAUGCUUCUCAUUUCAGAAGAGUUUUUAAGUGUUGUUGUGAAAGCUGGAAAGAUCACUGAGACAUAAUUACAUAGAGAUCUACAUAGAGGGAGAGUCCUUUAUGUUGCAUCAGGUAUCUUCCAUAUACUGUUUAUUUGGUACUGAUCAUUUCCAAUUCUUUAAAAAACAUGUUGCAAAAAAAAAACAAAAAAAAGCAAAAAUACAUCUUUAUUCUUUUAAGUUUAGCUCAAUUUUCGCUUAGGUCCUUUAAAUUUAUUUUUUCCCCAAUUUUGUCCUUUAAAAUACAUUCGAUUUGUAUCAUUAGCCUUUAAGAUAUAUUAAAUUACACAUGUGACCCUUUAAGUUUGAUAAUUUUCUCGAAUUACUGUCAUGUUAAGAUCUUAUCAAAGCAUUGCAACAAGUUGACUGUCCAAGUUACUUUGCAUGUGAAAGAAGUUAAAAACAUUGAUUAUGUGAAUAGACUUUUAUUACCUUGUUUUUAAGACGAUAUGUGUGUUUAAAUUGUUGUAAAUAAAAUCAAGAAAUAUAGACCAUUUAUAAGAUUUGAUUAAUGUUUUGUGAAAGAUUAGUAUGAGAUACAUAUAGUUGCAACAUUUGGUAGAGUUUUAAAUGAUCAAAAGUUUUCAAUUGAAUGAAUUGUUUUCAAAAUUGAGAUAAAGGACUAACGAUGUAAACAUAAUGUAACUUAAAUGACUAAAUUGAGAUAAAAUAAACUUAAAGAACCUAAGCGGGAAUUAAGUUAAACUUAAAGGACCUCAGCGGAAAUUGAGUUAAUAUUUGUCUUGUAGUAUUUUAUGUUUGAGCUUAAAUUGAAAGUUUAACCCUUUUGAUUAACCAUAUAAUUCUAACCCAAAUUUCAGCAUUCAAGAAAAGAAACUGUAAAGAAAAAAAGUAUCAACUUAUCAUCACAUAAUCACAAAUUAAUAUGGUUGAAUACUUUUGCUAGUGUUGGAUGUUACUAAUGAAUGUUCAAAUAGAUCUAUGCUGGUGUUAGACUUGGAUGUAAGUGUUGAAUGUUUUUGCUAGUUAUAUACAUGCCUAACUAAUUUUUCUAUAAUUCUAAUGUGAUUUUGGAAUUGUAUGAACUUUUCAA